Molecule: ribosomal RNA, 310 nt
Filed under: uncultured bacterium
Lineage: Bacteria
Description: partial 16S ribosomal RNA
Rfam family: Bacterial small subunit ribosomal RNA
Source: RNAcentral
AAGAGACAGCAGUCGCCACGGUAAAACGUAGGUGGCAAGCGUUGUCCGGAAUUAUUGGGCGUAAAGGGCUCGCAGGCGGUUUCUUAAGUCUGAUGUGAAGGCCCCCGGCUCAACCGGGGAGGGUCAGUGGAAACUGGGAAACUUGAGUGCAGAAGAGGAGAGUGGAAUUCCACGUGUAGCGGUGAAAUGCGUAGAGAUGUGGAGGAACACCAGUGGCGAAGGCGACUCCCUGGUCUGUAACUGACGCUGAGGAGCGAAAGCGUGGGGAGCGAACAGGAUUAGAUACCCCGGUAGUCCCUGUCUCUUAUAC